This 839-nucleotide long non-coding RNA is filed under the name Populus tremula. RNAcentral describes it as "long non-coding RNA (PTRE_LNC000062)". The record is from RNAcentral. Lineage: Eukaryota; Viridiplantae; Streptophyta; Magnoliopsida; Malpighiales; Salicaceae.
UUUUUUUAAAAAAAUGAAUUUCUGUUUUUUAUUGUUUAAUAGUAUUAUAAAAAAUAAGUUUUGAUAAACUAGUCAACUUCUUACCACACAAGGAAAAGAAAACAUUGUCUUGAGAUUUUCGUAGUGUCCAACAUAAGCAUUCGAUACAUACAAGUAAAUGUUCAGAAAUAAAACACAAGAAACCUCCCCCUCCUCGUCAACACACGAUCCCAAGCAAUGCACCACUCUUGCACUCCUUUCCUUAGCCAGUCCCUCAAAUAUAUCUGUAACAAAAUAGUUGUGGUGAUAAAAACAAAAUCAACAUUGGCAUUAGCAUCGAAGAACCGAAUUAAAUAAGCACAUAAUUUUUAGUUUAAUUUUUGGCCCAUUAAUUAAUCCCACCACCAAUCACUAAUGAAACAGUCCAAAAUGCCACACACACACACACACACACACACACAAAAAAAAAACUAGUUCAUUGAAUAGUAUAAAUAAAAUGGGAACAAAAUCCCCGCACCAGUUCUAAAUAGACCUCAUACUCUUAACUAUACUUACAAUUUGGACCUGCCUAUGGAAGUAAAUGGAAUUCUACUAGAAAUAUCGUAUUUGGUUAUAAUUUUAUUAUAUAAUUUAUGUUUAUGGAAGAUUCUCCAUCCAUAUCUGAUUUCUAAGUGAAUAAAGCAUGGAUGAUCUAAAAAAGGUACACAAACUAUAGAAAAAAGAGACAAACCUGGGCGGUGAUCUAAACAUCCUUGACAACAAGAUCACCGUUGACAAGCUCUCUGUAGGCAGCAACAGGCCAAGAAAAACCUCUAAAGAUCAAACCAGUAGCCAAAGGCACGUCAAUAAUGAUCUCCUUC